RNAcentral lists this ribosomal RNA (465 nucleotides) under uncultured bacterium. Its description in RNAcentral is "partial 16S ribosomal RNA". It matches the Rfam family "Bacterial small subunit ribosomal RNA", at positions 28 to 507 of the family's 1533-position model. The record is from RNAcentral.
GACGGACGCUGGCGGCGUGCUUAACACAUGCAAGUCGAACGGAAAGGCCCCAGCUUGCUGGGGUACUCGAGUGGCGAACGGGUGAGUAACACGUGGGUGAUCUGCCCUGCACUCUGGGAUAAGCCUGGGAAACUGGGUCUAAUACCGGAUAGGACCGUGCUUUAUUGUGUGCGGUGGAAAGUUUUUCGGUGCAGGAUGAGCCCGCGGCCUAUCAGCUUGUUGGUGGGGUAAUGGCCUACCAAGGCGGCGACGGGUAGCCGGCCUGAGAGGGUGUACGGCCACAUUGGGACUGAGACACGGCACAGACUCAUACGGGAGGCAGCAGUGGGGAAGAGUGCACAAUGGGCGCAAGCCUGAUGCAGCGACGCCGCGUGGGGGAUGACGGCCUUCGGGUUGUAAACCCCUUUCGGCAGGGACGAAGCGUUUGUGACGGUACCUGCAUAAGAAGCACCGGCUAACUACGUG